Long non-coding RNA from Eriocheir sinensis (Chinese mitten crab), 1145 nucleotides. RefSeq lists it as uncharacterized. NCBI's taxonomy places the organism in Eukaryota, Metazoa, Arthropoda, Malacostraca, Decapoda, Varunidae. The transcript is spliced from 4 exons. The record is from RefSeq and is a predicted model, not a curated record.
AGAACGCCAGAAAAGAUAUCUAUACACCAGUCCAGUCACAGUCAGUCACAGCUGCUAGUGUCUCGCCUCCCUUCCAGCGCUGAGCAGCUCAUAGCCUUCGUUCCGUGUUCCUCCCCUCCCCCAGGAAUGGGUCGCCGGCAUCAUGGUGGUGGUCUGUGGUGUGUGGGAGCGGUGGUGAUAGUGUUCAUGCAAGUCCUGCCCGCCACGUCUGUUCCUGGUCCUGCCGGACAGCAUGAGCCCUUCAUCACGCAUUCGCCAUGGUCUACGGGACAGGUCACCGUCACCGUCACCGCAGAUGGACAGGGUAGGAUCAUCAACCCUUCACCUUCACGUCCGGGGCAGAAAACCGCCACCAUAUACAGCACUGCAAUCUUUGACGGCGAAAAGGCCACACGAGCAAGCUCCGGAGUGCUCAGCAACAAAGGAGGAACCGGGGCUGAGGUUGUGCGAUUUGGAUCCCCUUUUCUAUUCAGUAGCUUCGGUGGCAAUGACGGCUACGGAGGCUACAGCGGCUACUUCGGCUUCGGUAGCAACGGUAACAACGGCCGCUUCGGUAACAAUGGCGGCUUCGGUAACAACGGCCGCUUCGGUAACAACGGCGGCUUCGGCAACAACGGCGGCUUCGGUAACUUCGGUGGCUUUGACUACUUUGGCUGACGGUGGGGAUCUUGAUGGCUACGACGGGUACGGUAACUAAGAUAACAACGGCGGAUAUAGAUGACUUCGGUUACUUCGACUGUCGAUGGGCAUGUUGUUGACUAAGAUCAGUCCGUACAUGGCAAAGAGUGUUUUAGCUUUUCUGAUUUCUGUUUUCAAUAUUUCUGUGUGUCUUGUAAUAUGUUGAUGUGUUUAAAGAACGUAACACACCUACUCCUGCCUCUAUGUCUUAGCGUUCCAGAGGCAUUUGAAGGCCAGAACAGAAUCACAGUAGAAGGACAGAUCAGGCCGGAGAGACGUCUGAUGCUGCCCUCCUGAAAGCGUUCAUCUUGGAAGGAGGAAACACAGCCAGUGUUGCCGUUUAUGGUACGAACGUACCAGAUUUGGUACUCUUCGGUGUACAAAGUACGACUUCCACUAGAUCUGGUACUAAAUAGAGAAAUGGUAUUUUUGUUAUAUACAUUGUGGAAAUAAAAUUAAUAGUAAAU